AUCUUCGUUCCCUGCAGAACCUUGACAGUUGAACAAGUGACCUCCUCCAGAACAGAUGGAGAGUCUCCAGAAGCAGAGGCUUUAGUGAACGAAAUUCGCAAUAAUCAGCUCCAGAUCCUGAAAAGGAGGGCGAAGAAUCAGUGGCCAAAGCUAACCGCUUCAUACCCACACUUCAUCCUCCUCAGUUUCUCUCCAGGCCACCAUGUCUGCAGGCAACGGCACCCCUUGGGAUGCCACCUGGAAUAUCACUGUUCAAUGGCUGGCUGUGGACAUCGCAUGUCGGACACUGAUGUUCCUGAAACUAAUGGCCACGUAUUCUGCAGCUUUCCUGCCUGUGGUCAUUGGAUUGGACCGCCAGGCAGCAGUACUCAACCCGCUUGGAUCCCGUUCAGGUGUAAGGAAACUUCUGGGGGCAGCCUGGGGACUUAGUUUCCUGCUUGCCUUCCCCCAGGGAUCUAGAACUAGAAAUACCAUUUGACCCAGCCAUCCCAUUACUGGGUAUAUACCCAAAGGACUAUAAAUCAUGCUGCUAUAAAGACACAUGCACACAUGUUUAUUGCGGCACUAUUCACAACAGCAAAGACUUGGAACCAACCCAAAUGUCUAAUAAUGAUAGACUGGAUUAAGAAAAUGUGGCACAUAUACACCAUGGAAUACUAUGCAGCCGUAAAAAAUGAUGAGUUCAUGUCCUUUGUAGGGACAUGGAUGAAAUUGGAAAUCAUCAUUCUCAGUAAACUAUUGCAAGGACAAAAAACCAAACACCGCAUGUUCUCACUCAUAGAUGGGAAUUGAACAAUGAGAACACAUGGACACAGGAAGGGGAACAUCACACUCUGGGGACUGUUGGGGGGUGGGGGGAGGGGGGAGGGAUAGCAUUAGGAGAUAUACCUAAUGCUAAAUGACGAGUUAAUGGGUGCAGCACACCAGCAUGGCACAUGUAUACAUAUGUAACUAACCUGCACAUUGUGCACAUGUACCCUAAAACUUAAAGUAUAAUAAUAAUAAUAAUAAUAAAAGAGCCU
This 1022-nucleotide long non-coding RNA is filed under the name Homo sapiens (human). RNAcentral describes it as "long non-coding RNA NONHSAT005945.2". Lineage: Eukaryota; Metazoa; Chordata; Mammalia; Primates; Hominidae. The record is from RNAcentral.